Molecule: ribosomal RNA, 607 nt
Filed under: Gerres sp. CIFE-LAK-Ges1
Lineage: Eukaryota; Metazoa; Chordata; Actinopteri; Gerreiformes; Gerreidae
Description: partial large subunit ribosomal RNA
Rfam family: Bacterial large subunit ribosomal RNA
Source: RNAcentral
AAAUAAGAAGGUCCCGCCCUGCCCAGUGACUAUAUGGUUUAACGGCCGCGGUUAUUUUGACCGUGCGAAGGUAGCGCAAUCACUUGUCUUUUAAAUGAAGACCUGAUAUGAAUGGCACAACAAGGGCUUUACUGUCUCCUUCCUCCAGUCAGUGAAAUUGAUCUCCCCGUGCAGAAGCGGGGUAUCUAGCACAUAAAACGAGAAGACCCUAUGGAGCUUUAAACACCAAGAGCAUAUCAUGUUAAAAACUCUGAAUAAAGACCAAACUGUAUGAACUCUGCCCCAAUGUCUUUGGUUGGGGCGACCCUGGGGAACAACAAAACCCCCAUGAAAACAGGAGAGAACACUUUUUUCUCCUGCAAAUAAGAACAACAAUUCUAAUUAACAGAACCUCUGACUUACAAGAUCCGGCCCUGCCGAUCAACGGACCGAGUUACCCUAGGGAUAACAGCGCAAUCCUCUUUUAGAGCCCAUAUCGACAAGAGGGUUUACGACCUCGAUGUUGGAUCACGACAUCCUAAUGGUGCAACCGCUAUUAGGGGUUCGUUUGUUCAACGAUUAACAGUCCUACGUGAUCUGAGUUCAGACCGGCUGAGUUCAGACCGGA